UAACGCGUGGGUGACGUACCUGUUGGUGGGGAAUAACUGCCCGAAAGGGUGGCUAAUUCCGCAUAAGUCCUUCGGUUCGAUCUGAAGGGGAAAGCUUCUGGUAAAACAGAGGCGCCGAUGGAGCGGCCCGCGUCCGAUUAGCUGGUUGGUGGGGUAACGGCCUACCAAGGCGACGAUCGGUAGCUGGUCUUAGAGGAUGAUCAGCCAGACUGGGACUGAGACACGGCCCAG
RNAcentral lists this ribosomal RNA (231 nucleotides) under uncultured bacterium. Its description in RNAcentral is "partial 16S ribosomal RNA". It matches the Rfam family "Bacterial small subunit ribosomal RNA", at positions 111 to 334 of the family's 1533-position model. The record is from RNAcentral.